Long non-coding RNA from Gossypium arboreum, 520 nucleotides. RefSeq lists it as uncharacterized. The record is from RefSeq and is a predicted model, not a curated record. The transcript has 2 exons. Lineage: Eukaryota; Viridiplantae; Streptophyta; Magnoliopsida; Malvales; Malvaceae.
AAAAGCCAAAAGAAAAAGUAAUAAAAAUAGGAUUUCUUACUAAUAAUUCUGCCUUUCUGCAACCCACCACUGACUUCAUAAUUUCCCUGUUUUUAUCUUCACUCUCUUCUUAUUUGUGGCUACUGUACCCACAACAUUCUUUCUUCUUCACUGCUUUUAAUUUGUUUCCAUCUCCAAGGUCUAUCAAGCAUCCAGUCAAGCUAGCUUUGUAUGAUAGUCAACGAAGUCAACUUCACUGCUUCAUUUUCUGUUCUAAUCUCUCAACACUUUUCAGCCACUAAGUCAGGUAAUAAGGCAAUGAUUUCCUCUACUGAUUAUCAACAGUUUUAGAUUUUAAGACAGAAUAGCAGACAUAAUCUAUCAUAGAUAGAAAUUAAUACAAAAAGAGCUACCCAGAAGCAAUAUAAUGUUGAAAUCUCAGACUGUUGAACAUUUUACCUCUUAAUAUUCUGUAAUGAACUCUUGCGCACUUGAAUCUAGCAUUUUAUAUACAUUGAGAGCUUGAUUCUGGUGACAAGAA